UACGAAGGGGGCUAGCGUUGUUCGGAUUUACUGGGCGUAAAGCGUGCGCAGGCGGUUCGUUGUGUCGGCGGUGAAAGCCCCGGGCUCAACCUGGGAAUGGCCGUUGAAACUGGCGAACUGGAGUGUGGCAGAGGGGGGUGGAAUUCCGCGUGUAGCAGUGAAAUGCGUAGAGAUGCGGAGGAACACCGAUGGCGAAGGCAGCCCCCUGGGCUGACACUGACGCUCAGGCACGAAAGCGUGGGGAGCAAACAGG
This 253-nucleotide ribosomal RNA is filed under the name uncultured bacterium. Its description in RNAcentral is "partial 16S ribosomal RNA". It matches the Rfam family "Bacterial small subunit ribosomal RNA", at positions 524 to 776 of the family's 1533-position model. The record is from RNAcentral.